GAUGAACGCUGGCGGCGUGCCUAAUACAUGCAAGUCGAGCGAACAGAUGAGGAGCUUGCUCCUUUGACGUUAGCGGCGGACGGGUGAGUAACACGUGGAUAACCUACCUAUAAGACUGGGAUAACUUCGGGAAACCGGAGCUAAUACCGGAUAAUAUAUUGAACCGCAUGGUUCAAUAGUGAAAGACGGUUUUGCUGUCACUUAUAGAUGGAUCCGCGCCGCAUUAGCUAGUUGGUAAGGUAACGGCUUACCAAGGCGACGAUGCGUAGCCGACCUGAGAGGGUGAUCGGCCACACUGGAACUGAGACACGGUCCAGACUCCUACGGGAGGCAGCAGUAGGGAAUCUUCCGCAAUGGGCGAAAGCCUGACGGAGCAACGCCGCGUGAGUGAUGAAGGUCUUCGGAUCGUAAAACUCUGUUAUUAGGGAAGAACAAAUGUGUAAGUAACUAUGCACGUCUUGACGGUACCUAAUCAGAAAGCCACGGCUAACUACGUG
Molecule: ribosomal RNA, 497 nt
Filed under: uncultured bacterium
Lineage: Bacteria
Description: partial 16S ribosomal RNA
Rfam family: Bacterial small subunit ribosomal RNA
Source: RNAcentral